AAAAGUUGUUCUAAAAAACUUGGACAAAUCGUUUCCUUGCAUUAACAUUUCAUUUAAAGAGCUAAUCUAUUUAUAUUACUUACUGAUUAUUCUUUAUUCGUGGUUAUUUCACACAUAGGGCUACCCAAACAAGGUAAAUUUUUGCGUCGUCUUGCUAGAUUUAAUGAAGGAAUACAGAACAAAAAAUCUUUGAGCUUUAUAUUUAUUGUGUGAAUUGAAAGAGGAUGUUUGCUUGUGCUAGUAAAAACUUAGAAACAGCAAUGUAUUCUGCUCGUCCUUUUAAUAUUUUGCUAGUGUAAAGUGUCAGAGCAAUAUUCUCUUUUACUUAAUUUUCGUUUUGAGUUAACUUUCAACGUCCAAGAAUACCAAAUUGACUAGCAUAA
Non-coding RNA from Schizosaccharomyces pombe (fission yeast), 383 nucleotides. Lineage: Eukaryota; Fungi; Ascomycota; Schizosaccharomycetes; Schizosaccharomycetales; Schizosaccharomycetaceae. The record is from the annotation of a GenBank genome assembly.